GCAGGCUGAUGUUGAAGAUGCGGCUGAAGUUGUGGAGGGUCCGGUUCCAGCGCAGCUGCGCCGCCGCCUCCGACGGGCUCUCGAGGGCCGAGAAGACGGUGGCGCCGGCGCUCAGGGCUUCGCCAUCCUCAACGAAAGGAGCACCACGUGUAUCUGGAAACGGGGCUGCUGGGCAGACAAAGCGUCAAGACAGGAAAGCCUGCUUUGUCCUGUUGACAUAAAAGCCAAGACCCUGCAGCUGCAUCUCUCACAAAUCUCUCCAGCCAGUGGCAUUGACAUGAAGCCUGCUAAGCUGACACCCCCUCCAUCAGGCUGAGGCUUUACAGAAGUGCAGGGGGGGCAGCAUUUGGUCACACCACUGAAGAAAAUGUUGGCAACCCUUUUGGCCUGCCAGUUUUGCUUUCUAGGGAUGAGAAAUAUUCCAGAAAUAUUCCAGGUUUUGCUUUUGUUUUUGCUCCACUGGAGAUGCUAUGAAAUCGCGGCUGGGAUUUUGGCAAGCUUCCCACCAUCCACGAAGGAAAUAAAGAGCAUCCUGCUGGUGUGAGGACCAUUGUACUGGGGACACCUUGUCACGCUGAUAAUGAUCUAAGGGUAUAAAACUCUGCUAUGAAGAAGAGGUGUGCUCUAGCGAGCAGGCUUCAUUCCUGCCCAAAUGCCACUGUGGCUUAUUAUUUUCUAAUGAAGUGAAAUAUAUUUUGUGCUCUCUGAAGUAGACUGUGUUGAUUUAAUUUGUAUUUUAUGAUCAAGAUUCUAAAUUUCAUAUCUUUUAUGUUUUGUAAGUAGUGAGCAGGGAUUUAGCUGCACGACACCCAUUAAUAUCAAUACAGCUAACUCCCCAUGCCCUUCUUUAAAGACUAUUUUAUACAUAACAACAUGGAAUUUCACCUCUUGAUAUUUCUCUCAGUCUCUGCAGGAAAAAAAAUGGUGAUAGCUAAUCUGAAGGCAAGCACACAUUUUAUUAUUGCUCUCAAAGCAUUAAGCAUUUUUAGUACUCUGAAUUUUUCCUGCUGACAAACAACAGGCAGCGUCAAACAUAGAAAUAGCUGCUUUUUUGUGGGCUGGGUUGGGGAAAGUAACAGAACAAUCUCCGGCAAGGAAUCAAAGAUUAUUGUUUAUUUUAUGUAAUUUCAGUGUGCUGCCUUUUGAUUUUUUUGCUUUAGAGAAUUGGUAUGCUCUAAGUUAGGGAGAUACUUCUCCAGUGUGAAAUCCUAUUAAAAAGGAAUGUCUACUUUUCUAGAUGAAAUUUUCUGGGUUUGCUUCCUUUCCCGCAUAUGAAUAAAAAUGAUCCAACUACUGUUGAGAAUGAGAAUAGGAAAAAAAAGACAUGUUUUCCAAGCAAAAGAUGUGAACUUUGUUCUUUCAUUGUCGUUACAAACCAUGUAUUCUGCCUUUCGUCUCAACCAUUAAAUUUGUCUCCCUGUGCCUCCCACUACGAAAAGAGAAAAUUCACAUCUCAAACACCCGUUGUUCAUCCUGUCACUAUCCAGGAGAAUGGAACAACCUGGCGAUGCUCCUGGAUGAUUUUGAGUGUUUUACAGCAGGAGGAAAGACCUGUCAACACCACCCGAGGACUGUCGGUAGGUCUUGGGCAUAGCGAGGUGAGCUAUUUGAGCUCAGCUUGGGGAGAGCUCUU
Molecule: long non-coding RNA, 1633 nt
Organism: Chroicocephalus ridibundus (black-headed gull)
Lineage: Eukaryota; Metazoa; Chordata; Aves; Charadriiformes; Laridae
Exons: 4
Source: RefSeq, a predicted model, not a curated record